Molecule: long non-coding RNA, 1666 nt
Filed under: Patiria miniata (bat star)
Lineage: Eukaryota; Metazoa; Echinodermata; Asteroidea; Valvatida; Asterinidae
Description: uncharacterized LOC119745632
Source: RNAcentral
CUCGAGAGAGCGUCUUGGAUUGCUACUGGAUUAUUAGAACGUGUCGCAAUUGCAAAUUGCCGUUAAGAAGAGCGCGCGCCCCCUGUAAUUGUCCGGCACAUGCUUUGCUGCUUUGAACAGCGCCUCCAAUCGAUGAAGUUGUCUUAUUUUUUUUGGUCGGAGAGCUGGCGCUACAUUUGGAACAGUGGAAAUUAGUAGAAAUCAGUGGAAAUCAUGGUGGUCACUCGGUAGAACUGGCCUAGAUAGACGCUGUUUCCAGUAAACAGAACCGGCCUAGAUAGACGCUGUUUCCAGUAAACAGAACUGGCCUACUAUAGACGCUGUGUCAGUAAAGAGAAUUUUGUUGGGGUGAGUGGUGAAUGUCUGCAGGCUGCUGAAGGGAAAAUUUCUCUGGAACUUCAAGAAUUAUAUUUUUCUUUAUUUAUAAAGCACACCUAUUCUACAUUAUUGUUGCUCAAGGUGCUACAUCAUUAUUGGCCAUUGGGCCAAUGAAAAAUUCCAAAGUCAAUCUCAGCUCCCUGGGGAGUAUACAGCUCGAUGCUGCCAUUUUGGCUCAAAGUAGCUGAAAUCAACCACAAUAGCCAUCUCUGCCCUCACAGGUACCCAUUUACUCCUGGGUGGGUAGAAGCAAUGAGUGACAAAGUGUCUACCAUGGUCACACACACCAUAACCCUAGGCUGGUCUCGAACCCACAACCUGCAGACCAGGAAUUAAGUACGGCACUCCACAGAAAAGAAAAGACAAUGAAAGGAUGUCUCGGAUUUGGACUCUGUGCACAAACUAUAGAGGGCGCUUUGCGACCACAAUUUCAGUGGGAGCAACACAUCAAGUGUACUUAACUGGUUCAGCCGAAAAUGGCGAAGUACACACGACUUAUUGUAUCUGAUGUGCACAAGCCCAACGCGUCAGGCCUCAAACUGAAGGGGGGGGGGGCGGAGUGGGAGUUGUCCCUAGGGCUGUCCAUUUUUACAUAAUUUAGUAAGUUGAUUAUUUGAAGCAAGUUUUACAUGUGCCUCACGCCAUGUCGGUCGACUCUAUUAUAGGCCACGAAGUGUUUUGCAGCAUUAUAACUGUCGAGGGCUUUAACCUCCUAAGAGGAUGGGAGCAAUGAAACGAAGUCAACAAAAUGUGGCAUCAGAGAAAACGCUGCAUCUUUACUAUUAAAAUAACAUCGCAAUUGCGUGUAAACUGCGUUGUUCGCUGUUUUUUUUUUCUCUCUCUUUGUUUAAAAUAUUUGAGCCGGCAAAACUUUAUUUGAAUAUUCAGUUGAUUAUUCAUUUGAAUAAUCAGUAUACAUGUAUUCGCGACAGCCCCAGUUGUAGUAUCUUUCUCAUAACCUGACUUGACUGUGUGGCAGAUUUUGUGCUUGUAUCAUCAAAGGCACAAUUCCCCCAGAUUUCCCCGAUGUGCCCUGCUAUGUAGGCAACUACAUUAGGGUCACUUUCAUGGCAAUAUAUAUGUUUUUUAAUCUAACAGGCCCUUCGCGGAAACAAUUUAUAUUAAGCAGGAAGCAGGAAUUUUAAUUUGUUUUGUGGCGCCAAGUGCUCCGACUCCAAAGUGGCAUAACCAUGAUAACGUGUUAAAAUGAUUCUGUGUACAUGUAAUUUCAUGUCGUGCUUUUUGGCAAAUGUUUGGAGAAAUAAAAAUGAUUGACUGAUUUCAGAAA